This 762-nucleotide ribosomal RNA is filed under the name uncultured bacterium. RNAcentral describes it as "bacterial SSU rRNA". It matches the Rfam family "Bacterial small subunit ribosomal RNA", at positions 28 to 777 of the family's 1533-position model. The record is from RNAcentral.
GAUGAACGCUAGCUACAGGCUUAACACAUGCAAGUCGAGGGGCAGCAUGAAAGGAACUUCGGUUCUUUUUGAUGGCGACCGGCGCACGGGUGCGUAACGCGUAUCGAACCUGCCUCAUACUCGGGGAUAGCCUUGCGAAAGUAAGAUUAAUACCCGGCGGUCUCGGAUGGCCGCAUGACUAUCCGAGUGAAGAUUUAUCGGUAUGAGAUGGCGAUGCGUCCCAUUAGCUAGUUGGUGAGGUAAUGGCUCACCAAGGCAUCGAUGGGUAGGGGUUCUGAGAGGAAGGUCCCCCACAUUGGAACUGAGACACGGUCCAAACUCCUACGGGAGGCAGCAGUGAGGAAUAUUGGUCAAUGGACGAAAGUCUGAACCAGCCAAGUAGCGUGCAGGAAGACGGCCCUCUGGGUUGUAAACUGCUUUUAGUUGGGAAUAAAAAGAGGGACGUGUCCCUUAUUGUAUGUACCAUCAGAAAAAGGACCGGCUAAUUCCGUGCCAGCAGCCGCGGUAAUACGGAAGGUCCAGGCGUUAUCCGGAUUUAUUGGGUUUAAAGGGAGCGCAGGCGGCGGCGUAAGUCAGUUGUGAAAUCGUGCGGCUUAACCGUGCAAUUGCAGUUGAUACUGCGUCGCUUGAGUGCACACAGGGAUGUUGGAAUUCAUGGUGUAGCGGUGAAAUGCUUAGAUAUCAUGAAGAACUCCGAUCGCGAAGGCAUAUGUCCGGAGUGCAACUGACGCUGAGGCUCGAAAGUGUGGGUAUCAAACCAGG